GCGGGUGGCGCCGAUCCGGUGACGGCCCCGGUCUUCAAAACCGGUCGGGAGGUGUCGGAAGACACGCUUCGGUGGGUUCGACUCCCAUCACCCGCCGCCA
RNAcentral lists this transfer RNA (100 nucleotides) under Myxococcales bacterium. RNAcentral's name for it is "tRNA-Sec". It matches the Rfam family "Selenocysteine transfer RNA". The record is from RNAcentral. Lineage: Bacteria; Pseudomonadati; Myxococcota; Myxococcia; Myxococcales.